RNAcentral lists this non-coding RNA (30 nucleotides) under Mus musculus (house mouse). The record is from RNAcentral. Lineage: Eukaryota; Metazoa; Chordata; Mammalia; Rodentia; Muridae.
UAGAAAAUGGCAAAGCUUUUCCUUAGGUGG